UGGGGAAUAUUGCACAAUGGGCGCAAGCCUGAUGCAGCCAUGCCGCGUGUAUGAAGAAGGCCUUCGGGUUGUAAAGUACCUUUAGUCGGGAGGAAGGUGGUAAGGUUAAUAACUUUGGUAAUUGACGUUACCGACAGAAGAAGCACCGGCUAACUCCGUGCCAGCAGCCGUGGUAAUAUGGAGGGUGCAGGCGUUAAUCGGAAUUACUGGGCGUAAAGCUGACGCAGGCGGUUGAUUGAGUCAGAUGUGAAAUCCCCGGGCUUAACCCGUGAAUUGGAUCUGAUACUGGUAAGCUAGAGACUUGUAGAGGGGGGUAGAAUUCCAUGUGUAGCGGUGAAAUGCGUAGAGAUGUGGAGGAAUACCGGUGGCGAAGGCGGCCCCAUGGACAAAGACUGACGCUCAGGUGCGAAAGCGUGGGGAGCAAACAGG
RNAcentral lists this ribosomal RNA (429 nucleotides) under Chloroflexota bacterium. RNAcentral's name for it is "Chloroflexi bacterium partial 16S ribosomal RNA". It matches the Rfam family "Bacterial small subunit ribosomal RNA", at positions 355 to 776 of the family's 1533-position model. Lineage: Bacteria; Bacillati; Chloroflexota. The record is from RNAcentral.